Molecule: long non-coding RNA, 2279 nt
Organism: Ailuropoda melanoleuca (giant panda)
Lineage: Eukaryota; Metazoa; Chordata; Mammalia; Carnivora; Ursidae
Exons: 4
Source: RefSeq, a predicted model, not a curated record
UCCUUAGAGAAAAUGUCUUGCAGGCUGUUGGGGAGUGCAUGAAUGCUGGAAAUACUUCCCCAAGUGUUGCUCAAUGUCCUGGGAAGACAGUCUGCUGGCAUCUGGACUCCUUACCCUGGAGAGGGGUUGCAGGACGCCGGGGCAUGCGGGUCUGAUAAGACAUUUGCAUAUUAGCGACCUUCUUGAAUCUGUGGGUGACGAUUGCAGAGCCAUGGUGGGCUGGGCAAUGGGGAAGUGUCCCUCAGAGGCCCCUCGAAUCACGGGACAUAUGUGACCACUGGCUGCACCGGCGGCCCCAGCGGCCCCAAGGCCAACAGAGAAAGUGACCCUGUUCACGCAGGAGCACAGUUUUCGGCUUCACCUCAGGAAAAGAAAUGUUUGCUCAAGCUUCUCCUGACGAAGGCUUCCCUCAGAGAGCAGAUAUUUUUUAGGAGGUGUGUAGUCAAUAGCCAGUCCCUCUCCUGCUGCAUCAGGCAACCCAUCCCUCUCCUUGGCUGGUGCUUGAUGAAGGAAUUGGCAAGUUCAAGGCCCACGUGGGAACAUCCUGUUGGCCAGAGGCGUUACUUCAGCAGACAGGCAGGCCCUUCGGGAUGAAGAUGACAGACCCAAGGAUUUGACGUCUGGACUGGGUUAUAUUCAAAUGUGAACUAUCACACCAAAUGUGUCACCAUCACACCACCUCCCCUGCCUUCCACCAGAGCCCGUGGGCCUGAGCCAGAGGCCAGUGAACCCGUCUGAAGAAGCUACAGAGCCUACCCACGUGACCCUUGAAGAGAAGGUUCCAGAACCCUGGCACACUCGUCUUCACUCAGCUCUUGGGGGAUUGUGUACCUUUUCUUCAGUCUUUCUGGUUUUUAACCAGGAUCCCAACUCAGGAGAUGGAUAUGGAGCCAUCAGGUACCAGUUAAAGGAAAUACCACGCAGUUUCUUCAAGCCUAGUACUUGGCGCUGAUACUCAGUGAGCAAUCUCAUUGCUCCUGAAGGGUGCUGCCAUUAUGGUUUAGCUGCAUUUAAAGCCUCAUGAGAUGCCCUUGUAGGAGUAGACGAGAUCUUACUUUCAAAGUAGGGUUGGCUUUUUCUUAAGAAAGAGAGCAUUAUUCCUGGUCUUCCAGAAUUGCCUUCUCCUUUGUUGUAGGGUCUAUAAAAAUAAACGUGGUCUGUAUGCCCCUCCCUGUGGAUCAGGAAAUACCCACCUGGUUCUGGGGCAAUGGUUAACCCUACCCCUGGGACCAUGCCACGACAGGCUAUGAUUUGGACCCUUCUACUUACAGUGCCCCAAUGUAGGCUUGCUUCUAUCAAACCCAUGCCUUCUUUUCAAGUCAAUUACUCAACUAAGGAUUGGGAUAGAGAGAAUCAAUGGAAAUUGUGGAAAUCGAAGUUCAAAAAGCUAGAAUCUCAACCAUUGUGUGACCCUCAUACUCAGCCCGUUCCUUUAUUCAGGCCCUUUAUUCUGAUAACUUAUUCUUUCUGAACAUGAACUUGAGCUAAGGCUGUUGGACCAUUGUUGGCUUACCAGGAAACAAUAGCUCCAAACAUGCUAGACUCCCUGCCUUCACACUGUUUACUUUGCUGGAAUGUGCUUCCUUCCGUGUCUGCAUAUCCAAAAGCCACCCACCCUCUUCAAGGCUCCAUGUAAAUAUCUUCACCUUCUUGAAAGCUUCCUUGGGUCCCUCCAGCUGCCAAUGGGAAGACAGCAGCAUGGUGGCCAAGAGCAAGGAUGCCAGGACCCGGACCUCCACAUUUCACAUUCCAGCUCUGCCACUUCCUAGCUCUAGGACUUUCGUAAAGUUUCUUAAUAUGUCUGGGCCUUAGUUUCCCUAUCUGUAAAACGGGGAUGAUAGUAGUACCUAUCUCAUAAGUUAUUAGGAGCAUAAAGUGGGUUAAUAUAUAUUAAAUGCUUAAAAUACCACCAGCGAAGAGAGGGUUAAGAUGGCAGAGGAGUAGGGGACCCCUUUUUCAGCCGGUCCCCUGAGUUGAGCUGGAUAGGUACCAGACCAGCAGGAACAUCCACGGAAUCAUCCUGAGACGCAGGAAGAUACAUCUGGAUCUCUACAAACGAACAUCUCCAGCGCUGAGUGUUGAGGUACGAAGCAGGGAACCGUGAAACCGCGCACAGAUAUCGGAAGAUAAACAGAAGGGGUGGGAGCCGUCGUGUCAGGGCCCCGGAAACGGUAGCCACCUGCAUGGGGGAGCGGACGGACCGCGGACCCACACCCUUGAGACAGCAGACUGAGACCGUGAGCUGGGGAUGCGUGCUACCAAGCAUCUCACGGAGCUCC